CCUACGGGAGGCAGCAGUAGGGAAUUUUGCGCAAUGGGGGAAACCCUGACGCAGCAACGCCGCGUGAUCGAUGAAGCUCUUCGGGGCGUAAAGAUCUGUCAGUGGGGACGAAACCUGACGGUACUCACAGAGGAUGCACCGGCUAACUCUGUGCCAGCAGCCGCGGUAAUACGGGGGGUGCAAGCGUUGGCCGGAAUCAUUGGGCGGACGGAGAUCGUAGGUGGGACGUUAAGUCUGGUGUUAAAGGCGGAAGCUCAACUUCCGUAGGGCACUGGAUACUGGCGAGCUUGAGUGCGGUAGAGGUAAAGGGAAUUCCUGGUGUAGCGGUGAAAUGCGUAGAUAUCAGGAGGAACAUCGGUGGCGUAAGCGCUUUACUGGGCCGUAAUUGACACUGAGGAACGAAAGCCGGGGUAGCAAAUGGGAUUAGAUACCCUUGUAGUC
Molecule: ribosomal RNA, 441 nt
Filed under: uncultured bacterium
Lineage: Bacteria
Description: partial 16S ribosomal RNA
Rfam family: Bacterial small subunit ribosomal RNA
Source: RNAcentral